UACGAGGGGUCCAAGCGUUGUUCGGAAUUAUUGGGCGUAAAGCGAGUGCGGGUGGCUUUUUAAGUCAGGAGUGAAAUCCCAGGGCUCAACCCUGGAAGUGCUUUUGAUACUGGAAAGCUUGAAUGUGGGAGAGGGUGCUAGAAUACCUAAUGUAGUGGUGAAAUACGUAGAUAUUAGGUGGAACACCGGUGGCGAAGGCGGGCACCUGGCCCAACAUUGACGCUGAGGAGCGAAAGCCAGGGGAGCAAACGGG
This 253-nucleotide ribosomal RNA is filed under the name uncultured bacterium. RNAcentral describes it as "partial 16S ribosomal RNA". It matches the Rfam family "Bacterial small subunit ribosomal RNA", at positions 524 to 776 of the family's 1533-position model. The record is from RNAcentral.